ACUCAAAGGAAUAGACGGGGGCCCGCACAAGAGGUGGAGUAUGUGGUUUAAUUCGAAGCAACGCGCAGAACCUUACCUGGUCUUGACAUUGUAAGACAUCCGUAGAGAUACGGCUUUCCCUUCGGGGACUUAUAAACAGGUGCUGCAUGGCUGUCGUCAGCUCGUGUUGUGAAAUGUUCGGUUAAGUCCGGCAACGAGCGCAACCCCUGUCCUUAGUUACCAGCAUUAAGUUGGGGACUCUAGGGAGACUGCCGGUGUUAAACCGGAGGAAGGCGGGGAUGACGUCAAGUCCUCAUGGCCCUUACGACCAGGGCUACACACGUACUACAAUGGUGGAAACAAAGAGUCGCAAGUCGGUGACGACAAGCUAAUCUCAAAAACACCAUCUCAGUCCGGAUUGAAGUCUGCAACUCGACUUCAUGAAGUUGGAAUCUCUAGUAAUCGCAGAUCAGCACGCUGCGGUGAAUACGUUCCCGGGCCUUGCACACACCGCCCGU
Molecule: ribosomal RNA, 497 nt
Filed under: uncultured bacterium
Lineage: Bacteria
Description: partial 16S ribosomal RNA
Rfam family: Bacterial small subunit ribosomal RNA
Source: RNAcentral